UUUGAUAGCCUCCUACCCUCGCUAUCCGCCCGGGUACUACGAGCAUUAGCUUAAAACCCAAAGGACUUGGCGGUGCUUUAGAUCCCCCUAGAGGAGCCUGUUCUAGAACCGAUAACCCCCGUUUAACCUCACCCUCCCUUGUCCUUUCCGUCUAUAUACCGCCGUCGUCAGCUUACCCUAUGAAGGACCCACAGUAAGCAAAACUAGUACAACUCAAAACGCCAGGUCGAGGUGUAGCAUACGAGAGGGAAAGAAAUGGGCUACAUUCCCUAUCACAGGGAAUACGAACAAUGUAAUGAAACGUGCAUUAGAAGGAGGAUUUAGCAGUAAGCAGAAAAUAGAGCG
Molecule: ribosomal RNA, 345 nt
Filed under: Coelotilapia joka
Lineage: Eukaryota; Metazoa; Chordata; Actinopteri; Cichliformes; Cichlidae
Description: partial 12S ribosomal RNA
Rfam family: Bacterial small subunit ribosomal RNA
Source: RNAcentral